RNAcentral lists this transfer RNA (72 nucleotides) under Camelus bactrianus (Bactrian camel). It matches the Rfam family "tRNA". From Rfam's summary of the family: Transfer RNA (tRNA) molecules are approximately 80 nucleotides in length. Their secondary structure includes four short double-helical elements and three loops (D, anti-codon, and T loops). Further hydrogen bonds mediate the characteristic L-shaped molecular structure. tRNAs have two regions of fundamental functional importance: the anti-codon, which is responsible for specific mRNA codon recognition, and the 3' end, to which the tRNAs corresponding amino acid is attached (by aminoacyl-tRNA synthetases). tRNAs cope with the degeneracy of the genetic code in two manners: having more than one tRNA (with a specific anti-codon) for a particular amino acid; and 'wobble' base-pairing, i.e. permitting non-standard base-pairing at the 3rd anti-codon position. RNAcentral also lists the same sequence under 1 other name. The record is from Rfam by way of RNAcentral. Lineage: Eukaryota; Metazoa; Chordata; Mammalia; Artiodactyla; Camelidae.
GAGCAUAUGGCUCAGUGGGAGAGCAUGUGCUUAGCAUGCUUAAGGUCCUUGGUUCAAUCCCCAGUACCUCCA